UAAGUCAUUAUUAUAUUGCUCUUCUGUAUCAUUCCUGCUUGAUGGUGUAUAUAAACUAGCUAUCUCCUCAUUCAUCCUAUGUUUGACAAUUUUUUUACCUUUGUUAGCAUUAAGAAUUGCCGCCAUCUGUUUUUUUACAUUACUAGGGACACUAGUGCAUGCAGAAACUUCUCCCUUAACCCCUGCCAAGUGUUGCUUGAACCUAUGUACCCCACUACUUAUCACUUUUUGACAGUAAUUACAAAUAAUUUUGUCUUUCUUGUUGGGAUCAAGUCUGACCCCAUGUUGCCAUGCAGGGUCUUCUGUAGAUCUUGACAUGAUUCAACUGUUUUAAGAUGUAAAAAGU
This 346-nucleotide long non-coding RNA is filed under the name Amborella trichopoda. Its description in RNAcentral is "long non-coding RNA (ATRI_LNC002045)". The record is from RNAcentral. Lineage: Eukaryota; Viridiplantae; Streptophyta; Magnoliopsida; Amborellales; Amborellaceae.